UGCUUGAAUUUGAUGUGGGGGGGGGGGGAGGUUUGUCAAAGUUCAAAAGGGUUUGACAAAAGAAACAUAAGAAAAACCCACUCAUUCUCAACAGCAGCAGCAGCUGCUUCGUUCCUACCUUCCUUCCUUUUCCAUCUCCCUUUCUUUCAUUCUUACUUUACUCUCUUUCAGUCUCUCUUUUCCACAUACAUGAUCUUUACACAUGUGUGUCUGCAAUGUGUGUGUAUGUGUGUGUGUGUGUGUAAUUGCAGGUAGCGUUGGAGUGGGCACAGUGAGUUGGGUUAUGGAGCGGGUAAGGUGGGUGGAUGCUGUGAAGAGAGGGUGCCAUGGAAACAACAUCCUGUAGAGCUGAGCCUUGCCCUUUGAAUGGAGGAGAGGGAGGUGGAAGUCACCAAAGGAGAAGAGAAUAGACAGGCAAGGAGAGGCAAAGACAAAAGGGUGCAGAGAUGGGGGAUGGGGUGGGGCUUUAAUUGUGGUUUUGAGGAGAGGAGAGGAGAGGAGUUGAGAGAAGAGUGGUGGUGGAUUAGUGCUUGAAAAUUCUUGUGCCAUCCCAGACCCUGCACUCAAACCUUUCAAGUGUGUGUGUGUGUUUGUGUGAGUGUGUGUGUGUGUAUGUGGAGGGAGCCAUGAGGGGCUCUAUGGUGUAAUUGUUGGCUGAUAGAAGUGCCCAAUUCUCCAAAUCAGGUUUACAAGAAGACAAUCACUGGUGGUGCUGCUGGGAGUGCAGCUUUAUUAUUACUCUACACUGCUGCACAAAAGUUCUAGUCAGAGAGAAGUUGUAGAGACAUACAGAGAAAGUUCUAUUGUGGAGUAUUCUCUCUUCACGAACACAUACACUUACACUUGGAGAGGGAAGAGAUUUUUAUUGUAUUUUAUUUUAUGUUUUCUUUGUUGCUAGUUUUCUUUUUUCUUCUUCUGCUUGUGUGUUUCAUGAAACUGGCAACACAGGUAGUUGUUUUAAAAUAUGUGUAUGUGUGUUUUUUUAUGUUUUGGUCAGUGAGCUGAGCUGUGCAGCAUCUACUGGGUUUCUGAGAGGCAGUCCUUCAUGUAGUAAUGGAGAUAGUUGCCCAGAAAUGGGAAAACUGAACAUAGAAGUAAAACAAAAAUGAAAUGAAGGAAAGUAGAACAUCCAAUAAGGAAGCAAUAUAUGUUACUUCUGCCUUAAGAUUAUCUAAAUUUUUGUGUACUGCUGUGGCUCAGAAGGAGCAUUAUUACUAUUAUUAAUAUUGUCAUCAUGACUGUAUAAUUAUAUUGCUCACAUCAUCACAUUGAUUUUGUGCUUUCAGGGAGUAAAAACGGUUGAAGUCCUCAAGGAAUGGGAGAAGAAGCAGAAAAGGGUUGAUUCUCAAGACAUGAUGAACAAGCUCAAGAUCUGAUAUGUUACUAGGAUUUGAUGAGCAAAGCAUGUACCCACAUAAGCAGCUCAGCAAGUUAUCUACAAUUACAGUUCCAGAGAACAUGAUGAAUGCAGCUUAUUUCAAAAAUUAGUGUGCAGGAUUAAAAACGUGGGUCUGAUUGUGUCAGGUGCCUAGUUUUGCUGGCUGCAGGAAUUGGACAUCAUUUGAUUGUCUCAUUUAAGACUGACUAAAUAUCUCAUUGGCCGAGUCCAAAGGUAUUAUUAUUGUUCUUACUUCUGCUGUGUGAGGGAGAAAGAACGAGUUUUCUCAUUGGUCUAACGUUGCAUGCUCGAGCCUGGUACUGGCGCCGAAACGAGGUCGUUGCUGCUCAAAUCUCCCACUUAAACCCCCCAAAUCUCUGGUCUGCAUCCUUGAUUCUAUUGUCUUUUUCCUUUUGCUUGUUGGUGGUGGUGGGAAAGGAGAGUUUUUUUUGCUUGUAAGUGGGUGUGAGUAUUUGUCUCUUGUAGCUGACUACCUGAAUCAUGUUGAAGUGGUGAUCUUGGAGAGCAGAUUUAGCCUUAGGGUGAUAAUGGGUGAAGGCCAAGAUGAGCCCAGAGUAACCUGCUGAUGAGCACUACAGCAGACCUGUACAUGACACAUUUAUUUUGCUAGGCGUUGGAGUUGUACUCCUGGUAAACCGUGGCUGGCAUGGCUGCCUCCCACCUCUUUAAUGAUGAGUUGUGGCAAUGGCUUUCUACUCUCGCUCUCUCUCUCUCUAUUCUCCUACUGUCGAUGGACACUAUAUAUACUCUCACUGUCCGGCCCUUGUCUUCCAUUGUUCCAUGGAUGCAGCAGUUAAACUUGCACAGCUCUGAGUACUCUUCGUUUGUUUAGGUUUCAAUAUCUUCAGCUGUGGGUCCGUCACCUAGACUCGUCGCGUGUUUCCAUAAGCCAGAGCCACUGAUUCCGAGCAUUAAGAAUGGCUGAUAUGUGCUCUCAGACUGCUAUUUCUCGUUGUGAAGGUGUAUGAUUUCAUUUUUUUGUUUCCUUGUCUUUUUGUUUGCGUCUCAGUAGAAACAGUCUGUCGUUGAGAUAAUAAAAUUGUCUACGUUCAAGACAUGACCGUUUCAUGAUAGAAACCAGUGAUGAAUUCGUACCUAAUGCAGAUACCAUCUAAGAAAAUUCUGGUUAAUGAUAUGCUUAAUUCCGUAGGGAAGUCAUGGAGAGGUUCGUGUGUGUCCGCAAAGGAUCGCCACAGGGUGGCUUUUGCAUUCCGUGAGUCCUGUCUGACAAAAUGAUCUACUUGAGGAUUGAAUGCAGUGAUUUGAAGGGAGAGAAUUGCAAAGUGCUGUAUUGGUGAUCGAAGUAUUUACAAGGCUGGCAGUCGCAUUGGGAAUGUCCAUGACGAUCUGUCAACAUUUCAGGUUAUGUUGACGGGUCGUGAUGGGCACUCUCACUGUCUCAUGCUGAUGAUGAUUCGUGGGUGCUGUUACGUUGUGGUCUACUCCGAGAAUGACAACGUUCUGAGGAAGUGAUCAACUUGGUCACAGUCUCAGAUACGCUUCUGACUUCAAUAAAGAAAUAAACAAGCAGUAAGUAUCUCUCAUCUUGAGAUCCUGCUCAAAGAAUGCAAUCUAACUCGGAGCUCAAUUCCAUAGUCGAUUUGAGGAUUUUAGACGUUGAUUGAUCACAGACCAGCCGCUAAAAACACUUACGCUGUGUUCUUGGGGAUAUGGUAAUGCAUUGUAACAUGCUCAUCGAUUUCUCCGAAACAUAGUUGUCUUCUAAUAUUUGAUUGUGGAGAUUUCAUACGUGAAAGAUACAAUAUCUCUCCGCAGAUGAUCUCUCUGCCAGGCAUGUUGCACGAUCACAGCCGACCCUCCAACCAGUUCUGGAGGACUUCAAAGGGGGCAUCUAAACCUGACGACAAACAAAUUGUGGUAUGGGCAUUCAUGUUAUCACCCCAAACAGCAACUCCAGGAAACUAGGAAACUUCAUUACAUGCUAAUACUUACUGAUACCACCCUCCCACAUUAUCCAAGUUAUGUAUAGAAACUAUGCGGAACUACGCACAACAAACUGUCGGUGCAAAAACGCCACAAUUCAAACUGUCAGAAGAAUUCAUGUGACCAUCAAGUUGUGUACAUGGCACGUCCACACCCAUUUGAACAUCUACAUGAAAACCAGAUCCGGAACGUUCGCCUCACGAUGGCAACUAGGAGCGGCGGACUGACCAGCGGUCGAAGUGUCGUGUUGUCAAGAUUGCGGUGCAAACCUUCAAGUCUGGAAGAAAAGGAGUGUUGAUCUGAACCAGCCUGCAUAGACGUGCGGUGGGUUCUUCUAGAUCGCUACACUGAUUUACAUCUGGUACCGUAGCAGACGAAUACAGUUUAUCUGCAUGUCCUGUGGGCUGAACCCAUCUUCCUAUUUGGAGUGGAACCUGCAGAAAGACUCCGUAAUUGGCGACUUUCGUGUCCAGUACUGCAAUGCGAUUGGUGCAAGUCCAGCUCUUCAGGAAAGUUUCUUCAUGACAACUGAACAUGAAUUCAAUGCAAUGCAUAGAAUGUCGUGAACGGAAAGAGAAGAUUUUGAUGAUACUAGCAGCCCAUUCAUGGAGCUCCAGCAGUUUACAGAGAUGAAAAGAAGAAAGAAGAAAUAUGAUGUGAAUGAUCAUAUGUCAAGGGAUUAAAGGUGUUGUGAUUGAGAUGCUGUUAGGUUUUCACCUACAUAAUUGAAUGAUAAAAGGCAUUGAGAAAGUUGACAAAACACAAUUAAUGAGGAGAAUCUGAAAUUUGCAACAAUACGGUUCCGCACGGAACAACUUCCAGAGAAGAAAAAACCAAAUACAUCAGAAGGCAAAAAUCAAAUUUCUUUCAGGGACUAUGCCUCCAGAAACUAGCAAGGCCGCCGUAGGGGGGGUUGCCACCCCACCUUAAUUCCCACAUUCGUUGCAGGUAUGAAUUAGACUCCACACAAUAACAGAUGGGACAUCUUUAACACUAUCCACUUCAAGGCAUAUCUUGAACUAUAGAUUUUAAAAUGAAGUAGAUACAAUUAAGUUAUAGUUCGAAAUAAAUCCACAUAUAACAUUAAUAAUAUUAUUAUUUUUUGUCA
Physcomitrium patens is the source of this 4451-nucleotide non-coding RNA. Lineage: Eukaryota; Viridiplantae; Streptophyta; Bryopsida; Funariales; Funariaceae. The record is from RefSeq and is a predicted model, not a curated record.